Molecule: long non-coding RNA, 370 nt
Filed under: Prunus persica (peach)
Lineage: Eukaryota; Viridiplantae; Streptophyta; Magnoliopsida; Rosales; Rosaceae
Description: long non-coding RNA (PPER_LNC008507)
Source: RNAcentral
AUUUCAGUUCAUAAUUAACUUCAUAUGCAUAUAUAGACAACUUUGCAUAGAAUAAUCAUUCAUUUGAAACAAAAAUUCAAAUGGGUGUUCAUAAAUCAUAAUUACCAAGAAGAUACCAGGUUGCAUAAUCCAUCACCAAACCCCCCAAAAAAGCCAGGUCCACCCCAGAAACCACCGCCACCCCAUGGCCCCCCAGGCCCGGGGCCCCAGCCACCAGGUCCUCCAGGUCCCGGGCCUCCCCAGCCACCAGGUCCUCCAGGUCCAGGGCCUCCCCAGCCACCAGGUCCUCCAGGCCCAGGGCCUCCCCAGCCACCUCCUCCUGGCCCUCCACCUCCACCGCCAGGUCCGCCAGGUCCGCCAGGUCCGCCAG